This 399-nucleotide ribosomal RNA is filed under the name Nereis aff. zonata MALT-2022. Its description in RNAcentral is "partial 16S ribosomal RNA". It matches the Rfam family "Bacterial large subunit ribosomal RNA", at positions 1948 to 2605 of the family's 2925-position model. The record is from RNAcentral. Lineage: Eukaryota; Metazoa; Annelida; Polychaeta; Phyllodocida; Nereididae.
GUGCAAAGGUAGCAUAAUAAUUUGCCUUUUAAUUGAAGGCUAGUAUGAAGGGACAAACAAGAAUAGCCCUGUCUCGUUCAGAAAACAAAAAUCUGCCCUGGAGGUGAAAACCCCUCCAUAAGCAUAAAAGACAAGAAGACCCUAUAGAGCUUCAUUUAUAUAAGCUAAUUACUAUUUAUAAAUUUAGUUGGGACAACUAAAAACCAGAUAAACCGUUUUUUCUAAAAACACCUUCCCUACAACGAGUUAGAAUAUAGCUACCUUAGGGAUAACAGACUAAUUUUACUAGAGAGAUCACAUUGACAGUAAAGAUUGGCACCUCGAUGUUGGCUUAGUGUUACUAUUGGGCGCAGAAGCCUAAUAAGUUGGUUUGUUCAACCAUUAAAUCACUACGUGAUC